Long non-coding RNA from Vitis vinifera (wine grape), 472 nucleotides. RefSeq lists it as uncharacterized. The transcript is spliced from 2 exons. The record is from RefSeq and is a predicted model, not a curated record. Lineage: Eukaryota; Viridiplantae; Streptophyta; Magnoliopsida; Vitales; Vitaceae.
UGGAAUCAAAAUGGCGUUUUUUCUUUUCUAUCAAGCCUCGACAUUUGAAAGUGGUUAUAUUUGUGCAGCUGUAAGAACUCCGUGUUGAUAUUGUGGACUUGAAAGAAAUGUAUAGAGAGCAGAUAAACCUGCUUGUGAAUCAGAUUCAGAAAGCAAGUUCAUCAACAGGCACCAUCUGAUAAGUCUACUCCUCACUCUGGCCUAUUCCAGCAAGUCAUGAUAUUUUGAUGGUAUAGUUUUCUAGUAUAUGCUGUAAAUUGCUAUCUCAAGAGUGUUUUCUACCAUACAUCAUUCAGAGAUCACGUUUUUGUCUCUUCAAAGAGAUCGGCAGCGGCCUUAUCAGAAACACAUUUGUCAAACUUUAUGUUAAUAUUGUACAGCAUGAAUCUCUUUAAGGUUUUGGCAUUCUUAAGCUUGAAAGACUGAGUUUUCCCAUUGGUUUAAUAAUUAAACAAGAGGAUCUCAUUCAGGA